RNAcentral lists this non-coding RNA (29 nucleotides) under Macaca fascicularis (crab-eating macaque). RNAcentral also lists the same sequence under 1 other name. The record is from RNAcentral. Lineage: Eukaryota; Metazoa; Chordata; Mammalia; Primates; Cercopithecidae.
UCCUGAAGAAAACAGACAUGGAGUGCAGG